UUAGUAUGUAACAAGUACUUUUUAGAAUGCAUGAUAAUAAGUCUAUCAUAUAAAUGUUUACAAGAUUCAUAGACAUAAAGAUUUAUAUUAAUGAUAAAUUGGUGAGAAAAUUUUUUAAGUGUCUACCAAGAACAUGGGAAGCUAAGGUGACAACUAUUCAAGGAGUGAAGGAUCUCAACAAAUUAAGCCUAGAUGAGCUAUUAGGAUCGCUUCUCACACAUGAUUACAAUGAAGAAAAAAGAUGAUGUUGAAGAAAAAAAAAGGUUAUUGUACUUAAAGCAUCUUCCAAGUGAGAAGAUUGAUGAACAAAUGUAGGAUGAGAAAGAACUCGCAUUC
RNAcentral lists this long non-coding RNA (336 nucleotides) under Carica papaya (papaya). RNAcentral's name for it is "long non-coding RNA (CPAP_LNC000649)". The record is from RNAcentral. Lineage: Eukaryota; Viridiplantae; Streptophyta; Magnoliopsida; Brassicales; Caricaceae.